CCUACGGGAGGCAGCAGUGGGGAAUAUUGGGCAAUGGGCGCAAGCCUGACCCAGCAACGCCGCGUGAAGGAAGAAGGCUUUCGGGUUGUAAACUUCUUUUAAGAGGGAAGAGCAGCCGACGGUACCUCUUGAAUAAGCCUCGGCUAACUACGUGCCAGCAGCCGCGGUAAGACGGAGGAGGCGAGCGUUAUCCGGAAUGACUGGGCGUAAAGGGUGCGUAGGUGGUUUGACAAGUUGAUAGCGUAACUCCGAGGCGCAACCUCGGCACUACUACCAAAACUGGCGGACUUGAGUGCAGGAGGGGCAAGUGGAAUUCCUGGUGUAGCGGUGGAAUGCGCAGAUAUUAGGAGGAACACCGGUGGCGAAGGCGAAUUGCUGGACUGUAACUGACACUGAGGCACGAAAGCGUGGGGAGCAAACAGGAUUAGAUACCCUUGUAGUC
Molecule: ribosomal RNA, 442 nt
Filed under: uncultured bacterium
Lineage: Bacteria
Description: partial 16S ribosomal RNA
Rfam family: Bacterial small subunit ribosomal RNA
Source: RNAcentral